Molecule: long non-coding RNA, 654 nt
Filed under: Homo sapiens (human)
Lineage: Eukaryota; Metazoa; Chordata; Mammalia; Primates; Hominidae
Description: HSALNT0255725
Source: RNAcentral
AACCUCCACCUCCCGGGUUCAAGCUGAGGCAGGAGGAUUGCUUGAACCUUGGAGGCGGAGGUUGCAGUGAGCCAAGAUUGCGCCACCGCACUCCAGUGUGGGUGACAGGGCCAGACUCUGUCUCCAAAAAUAAUAAUAAUAAAGAUAUAAAUAAGAAUUUUUCCCUUGAGCGGGGGUCUGUGACCUCUUUGAGCUUUCCAACACAGCCCCAGGGAUUGGGAGCCCCUAGGUGAGAGCCGCUGGAAACUACAUUGUCACUAGCAGCUCAGGGGAGCUUGGGAUAGUUGAAGCCCCACACCUGGAGAAGCCCUGAGCCACAAAGGGUUGUACCUUGACAUCUUAACCCAGCUAGAGGCCUUGUGAAAUAUGAACGGCUGUAUCAAUGCCUGCCUUCAGUACCUUAUUAUUAUUAUUAUUAUUUUGACACAGAGUCUCGCAUUGUCACCUGGGCUGCAGUGCAGUGGCGCAAUCUUGGCUCACUGCAACCUCUGCCUCCCAGGUUCAAGCGAUUCUCCUGGUUCAGCCUCCUCAGUAGCUGGGAUUACAGGUGCUCACCACAACACCAGGCUAAUUUUUUUUUAUUUUUUUCUUGAGAUGGAGCCUUGCUCUGUGUCCCAGCUGGAGUGCAGUGGCACGAUUUCAGCUCACUGCAAC